GUAGGUGGCAAGCGUUGUCCGGAAUUAUUGGGCGUAAAGCGCGCGCAGGCGGUUCUUUAGGUCUGAUGUGAAAGCCCACGGGCUCAACCGUGGAGGGUCAUUGGAAACUGGAGAACUUGAGUACAGAAGAGGAAAGCGGAAUUCCAAGUGUAGCGGUGAAAUGCGUAGGGAUGUGGAGGAACACCAGUGGCGAAGGCGGCUUUCUGGUCUGUAACUGACGCUGAGGCGCGAAAGCGUGGGGAGCAAACAGGAUUAGAUACCCUGGUAGUCCACGCCGUAAACGAUGAGUGCUAAGUGUUAGGGGGUUUCCGCCCCUUAGUGCUGCAGCUAACGCAUUAAGCACUCCGCCUGGGGAGUACGGCCGCAAAGGCUG
RNAcentral lists this ribosomal RNA (373 nucleotides) under uncultured organism. Its description in RNAcentral is "partial 16S ribosomal RNA". It matches the Rfam family "Bacterial small subunit ribosomal RNA", at positions 527 to 896 of the family's 1533-position model. The record is from RNAcentral.